This 77-nucleotide transfer RNA is filed under the name Desulfolithobacter dissulfuricans. Its description in RNAcentral is "Desulfobulbaceae bacterium GF1 tRNA-Arg". It matches the Rfam family "tRNA". From Rfam's summary of the family: Transfer RNA (tRNA) molecules are approximately 80 nucleotides in length. Their secondary structure includes four short double-helical elements and three loops (D, anti-codon, and T loops). Lineage: Bacteria; Pseudomonadati; Thermodesulfobacteriota; Desulfobulbia; Desulfobulbales; Desulfobulbaceae. The record is from RNAcentral.
GCGCCAGUAGCUCAGCUGGAUAGAGCAGCGGACUUCUAAUCCGCAGGCCGAGGGUUCGAAUCCUUCCUGGCGCGCCA